GACGGAGGGUGCUAGCGUUGUUCGGAAUUACUGGGCGUAAAGGGCGCGUAGGCGGCCUGUUAAGUCGGGUGUGAAAGCCCGGGGCUCAACCCCGGAACGGCACCCGAGACUGGCGGGCUUGUGACCGAGAGAGGAGAGUGGGAUACCCAGUGUAGAGGUGAAAUUCGUAGAUAUUGGGUGGAACACCAGUGGCGAAAGCGGCUCUCUGGCUCGGUUCUGACGCUGAGGCGCGAAAGCGCGGGGAGCAAACAGG
RNAcentral lists this ribosomal RNA (253 nucleotides) under uncultured bacterium. Its description in RNAcentral is "partial 16S ribosomal RNA". It matches the Rfam family "Bacterial small subunit ribosomal RNA", at positions 524 to 776 of the family's 1533-position model. The record is from RNAcentral.